CCUACGGGUGGCAGCAGUGAGGAAUAUUGGUCAAUGGACGAGAGUCUGAACCAGCCAAGUAGCGUGCAGGAUGACUGCCCUAUGGGUUGUAAACUUCUUUUAUAUGGGAAUAAAAUGCUCCACGUGUAGGGUUUUGUAUGUACCAUAUGAAUAAGGAUCGGCUAACUCCGUGCCAGCAGCCGCGGUAAUACGGAGGGUCCGAGCGUUAUCCGGAUUUAUUGGGUUUAAAGGGAGCGUAGGUGGAUUGUUAAGGCAGUUGUGAAAGGUUGCGGCUCAACCGUAAAAUUGCAGUUGAAACUGGCAGUCUUGAGUACAGUAGAGGUGGGCGGAAUUCGUGGUGUAGCGGUGAAAUGCUUAGAUAUCACGAAGAACUCCGAUUGCGAAGGCAGUUCACUGGACUGCAACUGACACUGAGGCUCGAAAGUGUGGGUAUCAAACAGGAUUAGAUACCCGAGUAGUC
RNAcentral lists this ribosomal RNA (460 nucleotides) under uncultured bacterium. RNAcentral describes it as "partial 16S ribosomal RNA". It matches the Rfam family "Bacterial small subunit ribosomal RNA", at positions 338 to 795 of the family's 1533-position model. The record is from RNAcentral.